AAAUAUCAAUUGGAAAGCUGAGAAUCAAGCCACAAAGCCAUUGAAAAAGUAUUAUUGGAGCUAAAACGAAUUUAAGGGAUUCAAGAAGAUUUGGAAGAUCAAGAUUACAGUUCUUGGGUUUUAUUAUCUUUUUGGUAUUCUUUUAUUUUCUUAGUUUGAUUUGAAUGUUUAAACUUAAUUUUAUGAUGAUGUGUGACUUGAUGG
RNAcentral lists this long non-coding RNA (204 nucleotides) under Theobroma cacao (cacao). RNAcentral describes it as "long non-coding RNA (TCAC_LNC003916)". Lineage: Eukaryota; Viridiplantae; Streptophyta; Magnoliopsida; Malvales; Malvaceae. The record is from RNAcentral.